This 7802-nucleotide long non-coding RNA is filed under the name Sus scrofa (pig). RNAcentral's name for it is "lncRNA (ENSSSCG00000053812.1)". RNAcentral also lists the same sequence under 1 other name. The record is from RNAcentral. Lineage: Eukaryota; Metazoa; Chordata; Mammalia; Artiodactyla; Suidae.
GAUAAGGACCAUCCAUGUGCUCUGUUGUUGGUCAUGGUAAGGCCAUAAGUUUUUAUGCCCAUUUGUAUUUUCCCUUCAGCACUGAGGGCAUGGAGCUAGAGUCAGUGAAGCUGCUUCAUUUUAAAUCCCAACUCCCUCACUUACUGCAUCUCAGCAACUGUUUCCUUCCCCACAAAGAACACAGCCAUGACUUGUGCUAUGUGGAAUAGCCCAGGAAAUGCUUUAGUGCAAUGCUGCUAUUCUUUGUUCUUUAAUUUAUAUUGAAGGAAAACAAUUCUCCCACAUUAUGGAAAGGAAGGCAAGCAUCCCAGGAUCUCUUUACAUCUUUAUAACAAUCCCCACCCUGGUGAGACAAAAAUGAAUUAAAUCCAGCACCCAAGACACACAUCACUACUACAUGCAACAGUUCUAUGUGCCAUUCCAGAAAAGCCUUACUAAACAAAUCUGCCUUACGAUGACAUCUGCUGGGAGUUUCUGGCACUGGAAGAAAAAAUGCCAAAUAUCUAAUAUUAACAGCACUGCCCAGGGAGAAGAGAACUUAACAGUGUCAAGAGUCAAGGUCUUAAAUGAUCCUACUAAUUGGGAACUAUUGCUAAAAAAUAAUAAAAUACAAUAAACCACAGGUGAGUCCAUAAUAAAAACCAGAUGUUGAGCUACGAAACUGAACUCAAAACAUGAAUUAACAUUCAAACACAAUAUUACCCAGCUUUUAAACAUCCAUCUAGAAAGGAAGGGAUGAAAUAUGUGACAUUCUUCUUGUAUGAGCUUAUACUUUAGAGUUCCUCAUUGCUAAAAAAAAGGGGGUUAUUCUCUUUCAAAAAUAUGGAAGUAUUUCUUGAGCUUGAUUAUUCUUCAUAUUGAAGGAACAACUGCUAUAAGUUCAGGUCAGACAUCUUCAAGGGUUAGUUAAGAGCAUAUUUCCUCUAAUUUCAGGCUUGAAUUCCAGUUCAGGGUGUGGCCAAAGCAGAGUGGAAAGACCAUCAUGGGAAUGAACCUUCCAGCAAGCCACUGACUUGUCCUGUCAGUGAUGCUUAAGAAAGAUGGUGCUUAAAUUAAGGUGAAUACUAACAUUUCCCUGUUGAAGUAACCUAAGCUACAACAAAGCAUACUGUUGGGAUGGGGUCUCCUAUCAUUCUUUUCCGUGAAAGAGAAGACAUUGAAUUUAGGAGGAAUUGUAGCAGACCACCAAGGAAUCAGAAAAUCAAAAUGUAGUAAAACAUGGAAAAGUUAUCCUUUGACUUAAAUGCCUCACUUAAUUGACUCACUAAGGCAGAUUAACAUUAGAUGCAUUUAACCUAAAUUAUUAGUGCAAGGACCCAUCUUCAGCUGCUACUUAAUAAAAGAUUCAUGCAACCAGAUAGAAGUAUUCAUCUUUUGGAGUUCCUGUCAUGGUGCAGGGGAAAUGAAUCCAACUGGAACCAUUAGGUUGUGGGUUCAAUCCCUGGCCUCGCUCAGUGGGUUAAGGAUCUGGCAUUGCCAUGAGCUGUGGUGUAGAUUGCAGACUCGGUUCAAAUCCCUCGUUGCUGUGACUGUGGUGUAAGCCAGCAGCUGUAGCUCUGAUUUGACCCCUAGUCUGGGAACCUCCUAUGCUUUGGGUGCAGCUCUAAAAAGCAAAGUAUGUAUAUAUACAAAUAUAUAAUAAAUUUAAAAAAAAAACAAGUAUUCAUCUUUCAUUAAGGAAAAUUCAACUUCAUAUCACGUUAUUUGAAAUUGUUAUACAAAAUUAUAUUUUCCCUGUUUUGUUCAUAGCAAUGAUUGGGACAAUUCUUUUAACAUGUGACUGGGCAUAAAUUGAAACUAAAAAAUCCCUAAAUUUAAUAACAUUCAAUCUUGAGACUUCCAAAAAGAAUUUUUAAAAAAUUAGACAAAUUGGAAAAGUUUUCUAAGAAAAUGCCCCUGAACUAUAAGAAAAACACAUCCCAUAGUCUUUUGUUUCUACUGUUAAGAGCUAACACCCUAUACCUGUGAUGUUCAAAUAUGUCUACAUUUCAAUUUCAUUUUCACAUUUAAGGACGUGAAGAUACACCGUAGUGAAUCUAAUAAAGUCUGAAGGCUUUGCUUCAAGCAAGACUCAAGUUAUACACACAACUGGCAUAGGGUGAGAGAACAUAAUGGAUUGCUAUAUAUUCUAAAACCCCCUUUUUUCAUAAAAGGAGCCUAUUUUGCAGCAACCCUAAGAGCAAAGACUGUGGUCUCACUUUGCUCAGUGCCAUAUCCCCAGUGCCUGUGCAUGAAUGUUUGUGGAACUCAACAGGAAGACUGUAACUAUAAAACAGCUACUUUCAUACUUUUCAGUGACUUUGUAAACUUGGGACCUGAUAUGUCUGCAUCUCAAGCCAGAUUUUCCCAAGUCCUUCCUGACUCUCACUGCUUCCUCAUUCUGCUCCAAAAAUUACAGAUUUCACAGGUCCCCCUCCCCCAGCCGAUCUAGGUCUUUCUUAUAUCACUCUGGUAGUAGAAAGAGCCCUCUGAUUCUUAUGUAGGCCAUUUGCUGCCUUGAGCCAAAGACUUGCUGACUGAGUCCCUGGGCAUCAGGACUGAGAGUGAGAGAAAAUGAGUGAGGGGCAACUACAGCGAUCAGAUAGGAGGUAAAUGUAUAAAUGAGCAUUCAAGCAAAGAUCCACCCACAAGGUAAUUUUUGGAAUAGCUCUGGAAAGAUAAGAAAGGGCGUGAUGAGAGGAAGCCAGGAAAAUUCUAGGAUGUUUUUGAAUCUGUGUCAAAUGUUACUGUGUGUAUAAAACAUCUAAAAAUUCCAAACAUUAUGCAUAAUGGAAAAAAAAAACUCUUCAAACAGACUUACAGUUCAUUAUACUCAUCUCUCUUACCCGCUUAUUCAUAACACUCAAAUAUCUGAAUGCCUCUGCCUGCUAUAUGAACAAGAAACUAGACUGAUUGUAGAGGCCAGGUUAAGUUGAAAAAGUUCUGCCCCUGGACAUAAUAAAAAAUUCUCUUAAUGCUAUGGCCGAAGGGUUUUGCUGAUCAUUUUAAAGAGUAGCAAAGAAGUUAUUUGCCAAUUGAGGAGACAACUAUUUUAUGCCUUCUUCUACAUGAGAUGGUCUCUUCUUGAACAGACAAUUUCUAAGUAAUCUGCAAAGGAAAUAGUUUUCAUGUAGGCUACAUCUAUACAUUUACCAAAUCUGCACUUCUCCUAUUCACCAGUCACUACUAAAUUCCAUCUUCUUAUGCUACACCGUCAUAGCCCUGCCUCCUGACCUUCUGCACAAUCAUCCAAAAUAAAAUGUUAGCUCUUUAUUCCUGUGCACACACAAAAAUGUUGUCAUGGUUUCUAAUUGGCUUGCAAAUUCAAGCCACUCUCCAGACACCAAUCCACACUGUGUAGUUUUAUAUUCCACUAUUUCCCAUACCAUGGGCUUCAGUCUGUUUACACCCUCUACUACUAGCAUGGAAUUCUAGUUCCCAUUGUAAUCACUUUACUCAUUCACUUGCCUCCCCUAGAAUUCUCUGCUCUCAACUCCACUACCUAUUCAGAUUCUACCCAUACUUCCAGAUUCACCUGCAGCUGUAUCUGAGAGCUUCAAGUGUUAAAGAUCUCUCCUGCCCUUCUCAAUGGGACUUAGGAUCAUCUAUUGAUCAAAUGCACAAGUUAAUCAUAAAACAGCAAAAUAAAUAGUUUUAAUCAUGAUAAUCAAAUUAAUAUGAUUUCUGUGUAGGCAGUUCACCUUCAGUUAGUACCCAACAGCAGUAAUCAGCACUUCUCCCCAUUAGUAGAACUCAGAUUCUCAAAAUCAACUGCUUUUCAAAAUCAUCUCUAAAGCCUAUAUAAGAAUGGAGGUCUAGACCCCUCCCUGAGAUUACAAUUCAGACGGUCCAAAGAAAAUAGUUUCCAGUAACUCUGCACAUAUUUCUGAUACCCACCCAGGUCUAGCACAUUGUUUUUCCAAGGAAGAUUCCAGUUGACUGCUUAUCAAUUGACAUACAAAUGACUCCACAAUGAUUCAAAGAAGUGAUAGGAAAAACAGGCGAUUGGGGUUCAUCUACUGAUUCAAAAAAAAGGCAAAAAGUUUUGCCUUAUUAAAUUCACCAGCCUGAGAGUUCCCAAUGUGGCUCUGUGGAAUCAAAUCUGACUAGUAUCCAUGAGGAUGAAGGUUUAAUCCCUGGCCUUGCUCAGUGAGUUGGGGAUCCACCGUUGCCGUGAGCUGCAGUGUAGGUCGUAGAUUCGGCUUGGAUCCUAUGCUACUUUGGCUGUGGUGUAGGCCAGCAGCUGUAGCUCUGAUUCAACCCCUAGCCUGGGAACACAGGCUGUGGGUACAGCCCUAAAAAGAAAAAAAAAAAAAUUCAUCAGACCCUACACAGGUGAUUGCACAGCAGGAUAUUAGGUUAUUUUUAGGCAGAAGGAAUGGUAUAUACACUGAGUCAUGGCCAAUGGAAAGAUUUUAGAACAACAUAGAAAUGCUCAUGCCAUUAAAAUGACUUAGUUAAGCCAUCAUUACUUCAUUGCUGCAGUUACCCAAACUGGCAGAGGUUCCCUAUCCUAACUGUGCCUAGAGUAAUCUGCCAAGAAAUGUAUAUACACAUUGGCCCACUUAACCAGAAAUUUGCAGAAUGGGAUCUGGAGAAUCUAUAUUUUCAAUAACUCCAGGUGAUUCUUUAGAGAAGAAAGAUUUGAAAAUCUCAGGCCAUUCCAAGGUCUUUCUCUAUUCCCUUUAGUCAGAUUUUGCCUUAAAGGAGCUGCCUGGUAAAUCUUAAGCCAUUUCCACUAGACCUUCCUGAUAGGAGAUCUUUCCAAUGGCAUUCCAGAUAUCCAUAACGAAGUAAUAAAUGAUGGCUUCGAUGAAGACAAAAAUUUGGUUUGCGUUAGCUGAUAUUCUUUCAUCUUUCCAAUGGCCAUCACAAUGAUGGCUUAACUAAGUCAUUUUAAUGGCAUGAGCAUUUGUAUGUUGUUCUAAAAUCCUUCCACUGGCCAUGACUCAGUGUAUAUACCACUCUUUCUGCCUAAAAAUAACCUAAUAUCCUGCUGUACAGACAAUUAAAAAGCAGCUGAAAAGUUUAACUACUUCAUUGAGUAAACAUCUUAACUGGGUACUCAUCUCAUGAGCUACCCUUUCUUUAAAUAUACUUGCAGACAGUUUUCCUUCAAUUGCAAAAAAAAAAAAAAAUCUCCAUUAUGAAACUUUCCUUUCAAUUAUAACACAGGAGAUAUUUUGAUGUACACCAACCGACAAAAAGAGUGUUUGCCAGUUGGUGUGUUUCCCUUAUUAUGUAAAAUUGGAAAUGGAAACUGCGGCCUUGAUGAAAACACUGAAAUUCCAGUAAGUAGGAUUAGUCAUACUUUUCGUGUACCAGGGUUAGAUUUCCAACAGCAAGUAAAAGUUCCCUGAGCUACUAGUAGAAGAAAACAUACUCCAAUUAAAAGAAAAAAGAAGGAACUACACAGGCUUGCAAGAGCCAAAGCAGGGAUGAGUAACAUUUGACAUUUGAAAGGCUGGAAUCUGAGCAAACGCCUUUCUCCCAGAGGAGAAACUUCUCACCAAAUAGUUGGCUCAUUGUGGUAUCUCGCUUUCUUUGAAACAGCAAGUCUCAAAUCUUUAGGGAGAAGGCAAAUUAAUGAAAACCUUUUUGGCUUAACUCCUCACAGCCUGGGAACUGGUGUAAUCAAAUCAAGAAGUUCCAGCCAACUGAGAUUUAAAUUAGACCCUGGCCAGAGGAGUGGGAAGGGCCUCAGUUGUAACUGAUUGUUGACAGGCCUGGGGCCCCUCCUGUGCUCCCUCAAUGAGUGUCUGGGGGCUUUUUACUUCCACUCUUAAUAAGGUCUCACUGUUUGAGAGCUAACAUUUGGACCUCCUUCUUCGUCUUGAACAUUAGAACAGUUACCCUUUCAACUGCAGGAAAUAUUUUCAUAUAAACACCAGAGCAAGUAGGUAAAAGGAUGAGUCAGGGAUCAAAAAAAUCUGCACUGUCACCCCCAUAAUUCAGAGAGAACGAGAGACAAAGGAGCAAAGAAAUAGAGUAGACCUUUAGACGUUCCUAAGCAUUUAAUUAAAGUAAGAUUUAUACACGUUCCAUACGUCUCAGAAUCCUUCAGAUCAGCGGAGUAUAAAAUAACCCUUCCGCAACACGAUGUUAAGUUUCUUAAAUGCCAAUGGCCAAAUUUAGAGUAUUUACGUGUUUUUCUUCCAAACCCUCUAUGCACUCCAAGUAAUCUCUUUUGAAGCCAUCAUAUCCCCUCACAACUCACACAGAAAAUUCAAGUCUUAUUCUACUUCUUCUAAAUCCUUCCCAAUCAGAUGAGCAAAAAUUAGUAAGGUCUUAGUGAACCUGAGGCUAGGCCUGAUGCCCUGCCCUGUUCCACCCACAAACAGGAUAAAAACAAGAACCCAUUGCCACCCUAUCUCCCAAGCUAACAGUGUCCACGAACUUUCCUGGCACCUUACUGUUCCUUACAUGGUUCUUCCUCCUCCUAAGUCAGUUUAUAAUGCAUACUCCUGAAUAAAUGCUUUUUUUGAGGCUAAAGUCUGAGAUGAAGUUGUUGGCAGGGCUGGUUCCUUCUGAGGGCUGUGAGGGAAGGCUCCAUUUCAGGUCUCUCCACCUGGUUUGUAAUGGCCAUCUUCUCCUUGUCUCUUCAUAUCAUCUUCCCUCUAUGUGUAUCCCUUUGUCCAAGUUUCCCCUUCUUACCAGGACAACAGGCAUGCUGGAUGAGAGCCUACCUUAAUGACCUCACUUUUGCUUGGUUACCUCUAUAAAGAUGCUAUCUCCAAAAAAAAGAAAAGUGACAUGUUGAGUUCCUAGGGAUAAGACUCCAAACAUAAAUUUUGGUCAAAAUCCAACCCAUUAAAAUCCUCUACCUGACCUUAGACAGUAAACACUAAUGCCUAACACUCUGAGAAGCAAGGAUGCAAACACACCAGGCCAUAUGUCAUCUCAGUAAUAUCUUUAGAAGGAAGCUUACAGAAUGCCCUUACAUGCAGUUAUCUGUAGAAUGCUAAAUGAAAUUCACAGCAAUCUGGUUAUCCAUAAGAUACCUUUUCUUAUAAAUGUAUACAAAGUGUUCUCUAUUAUACAUUAUGAAAUAGUGAAACUAAAAUCUCAACAGAGAUUUUGUCACCCUCAUUGAGGUAGGAGGUAGAUGGGCCCCUGGGCUGAGAACAGCUGGGACUUAUUAGGCCAAGGAAACUGGGCCUUGUUUCUCUUUGACACCUCAAGGAAAAUGUCAGCUGAAGGAGCUGAGCUCAGCUGGAGUAGAGGGAUAAGAUUGUUGGAAGAACAAAUCGUCUAACAAUCUUAGAAGAGAUAAGAUUGAUAAGAAGAGGCGAUCCCUUUGUGGUGCAGUGAUUAACAAAUCUGACCAGGAACCAUGAGGUUACAGGAUUGACCCCUGGCCUUGCUCAGUGGGUUAAGGAUCCAGUGUUGCCGUGAGCUGUGGUGUAGGUUGCAGACCGGCUCAGAUCCCACGUUGCUGUGGCUGUGGCAGAGGCUAGAGCAAUGAGACUGCAAGAGGAGUCUGUUGACCGACAGAGUGGUUGGGAGCUCUGAGGAGCCUUGAGACUCAGGCUCCCCCACCACAGGGGAGUGUUUGUGUUUUUUUAUGUUUUUUUAUAGACACGGUUUGUUUUGUUGAUCCAUGUGGUCAGUGGCCUUGGGGCUAUCUUUGUCUUUGGGAACUCAUCCCUUACAUGGUCCUGUUUGUUAAGAAAGAGUCUGUCUCCUUCUAGGCCUUGUUUCAUUUUCCAUAUGACCACUUCAAUCACUCCUGGAGUUAAGGAGAUCUCCCCAAUUACACAUGCACAGUAAGACUCCUAGGGGUCAGAAAGGGAGGGGGUGCCGAGCCAUAAUAAAUCCUGAUA